AUACGGAGGGUGCAAGCGUUAUUCGGAAUCACUGGGCGUAAAGGACGCGUAGGCGGGUUGGCAAGUCAGAUGUGAAAUCCUACAGCUUAACUGUAGAACUGCAUUUGAAACUUCUAAUCUAGAGUAUGGGAGGGGGAGAUGGAAUUAGUGGUGUAGGGGUAAAAUCCGUAGAUAUCACUAGGAAUACCGAAAGCGAAGGCGAUCUCCUGGAACAUAACUGACGCUAAGGCGUGAAAGCGUGGGGAGCAAACGGGAUUAGAAACCCUUGUAGUCC
Molecule: ribosomal RNA, 274 nt
Filed under: uncultured bacterium
Lineage: Bacteria
Description: partial 16S ribosomal RNA
Rfam family: Bacterial small subunit ribosomal RNA
Source: RNAcentral